This 66-nucleotide transfer RNA is filed under the name Procambarus dupratzi. RNAcentral's name for it is "tRNA-Asp". The record is from RNAcentral. Lineage: Eukaryota; Metazoa; Arthropoda; Malacostraca; Decapoda; Cambaridae.
UAAAAAUUAGUUAAUAUAAUAUAAUAUAAGCUUGUCAAGUUUAAGUAAUUGAAUAAAUAUUUUUAU